AUUGAACGCUGGCGGCAGGCCUAACACAUGCAAGUCGAACGGUAACAGGGAGAAUCUUGCUUCUUUGCUGACUAGUGGCGGACGGGUGGGUAAUGUCUUGGAAACUGCCUGAUGGAGGGGGUUAACUACUGGAAACGGUAGCUAAUACCGCAUAACGUCGCAAUACCAAAGAGGGGGACCUUCGGGCCUCUUGCCAUCGGAUGUGCCCCGAUGGGAUUAGCUAGUAGGUGGUGUACCGGCUCACCUAGGCGCCGAUCCCUAGCUGGUCUGAGAGGAUGACCAGCCACACUGGAACUGAGACACGGUCCAGACUCCUACGGGAGGAAGCAGUGGGGACUAUUGCACAAUGGGGGAAAGCCGGAUGCAGCCAUGCCGCGUGUAUGAAGAAGGAGUUCGGGUUGUAAAGUACUUUAAGCGGGGAGGAAGGGAGUAAAGUUAAUACCUUAGGUCAUUGACGUUACCCGCAGAAGAAGCACCGGCUAACUCCGUG
Molecule: ribosomal RNA, 490 nt
Filed under: uncultured bacterium
Lineage: Bacteria
Description: partial 16S ribosomal RNA
Rfam family: Bacterial small subunit ribosomal RNA
Source: RNAcentral